Molecule: long non-coding RNA, 594 nt
Filed under: Helianthus annuus (common sunflower)
Lineage: Eukaryota; Viridiplantae; Streptophyta; Magnoliopsida; Asterales; Asteraceae
Description: sRNA HanXRQr2_Chr04g0162241
Source: RNAcentral
CCAGGCACUUUUCAGGCCAGAUCCAUCACCGCCCUCCCCAUCAACCUCCGCUGCAAGAUUUCAUCCACCACCGCCAUCUAAGUGGUGGUUUUCUCAUACGAACCAUUCACCCAAUACCAUUAUCUUCACCGUCUCUACACAAACACCCUACACCAUUUUCUUUAACAUCACAACUGCCAAAAAUUCGUUGCUAAACAAACCCCAAAGAUCGUCGACAAAAUGAUUGUUCAAUUUACGAUCUCAGUUUGGGGAAAAUGAAGACGUCGGAUAUGAACACCCCUCCAUCUCGACUUAGGGUUUCGAUAGGAUGAUGAUGAUAUUCUAUGGUAAUUUCCGGUGACAAUUGACGACAGUGAGGCGAGGGGGGAUCGUGAAGGAGCAGGAGAUGGAACCAGGUUGUAAUUGGUCAACUCGAAUGCCUUUGAGUGCCAAGUCGUCGUAGAAGCAGUAGGAGAGUUCCGGUCGCAGGGGAGAGGUGUUGAUUCCGGCAACUCGAUCGGAAUGUUCGUCGGUUACUUGCAGAUCGUUAAAUGCUUGGAGCUUGCACUAGGAAGGAGUCGUUGUGGGAUACGGACUAUUAUGUUCCGUGCUUAA